RNAcentral lists this non-coding RNA (25 nucleotides) under Drosophila melanogaster (fruit fly). RNAcentral also lists the same sequence under 6 other names. Lineage: Eukaryota; Metazoa; Arthropoda; Insecta; Diptera; Drosophilidae. The record is from RNAcentral.
UUCUGGGUCGGGGUUUCGUACGUAG